GGUGAUAGCAAUAUCAUAGUGGCGCACGGGUGCGUAACACGUAUGCAACCUACCUUAUACUGAGGGAUAGCCUUUCGAAAGGGAGAUUAAUACCUCAUAACACAUUGAACUGGCAUCAGUUUAUUGUUAAAGAUUUAUUGGUAUAAGAUGGGCAUGCGACCAAUUAGUUAGUUGGCGAGGUAACGGCUCACCAAGACGAUGAUUGGUAGGGGAACUGAGAGGUUAAUCCCCCACACUGGCACAGAGAUACGGGCCAGACUCCUACGGGAGGCAGCAGUAGGGAAUAUUGGGCAAUGGAGGCAACUCUGACCCAGCCAUGCCGCGUGCAGGAAGAAGGCGUUAUGCGUUGUAAACUGCUUUUAUAUAGGAAGGAAUAGACCUUGCGAGGUAAGUUGACGGUACUAUAUGAAUAAACACCGGCUAACUCCGUGCCAGCAGCCGCGGUAAUACGGAGGGUGCAAGCGUUGUCCGGAUUUAUUGGGUUUAAAGGGUGCGUAGGCGGUUUAUUAAGUCAGUGGUGAAAGACGGUCGCUCAACGAUUGCAGUGCCAUUGAUACUGGUAGACUUGAGUGGGAUUGAGGUAGCUGGAAUGGAUAGUGUAGCGGUGAAAUGCAUAGAUAUUAUCCA
RNAcentral lists this ribosomal RNA (627 nucleotides) under uncultured bacterium. Its description in RNAcentral is "bacterial SSU rRNA". It matches the Rfam family "Bacterial small subunit ribosomal RNA", at positions 68 to 703 of the family's 1533-position model. The record is from RNAcentral.